This 67-nucleotide microRNA precursor is filed under the name Medicago truncatula (barrel medic). RNAcentral's name for it is "MIR5272 microRNA precursor family". It matches the Rfam family "MIR5272 microRNA precursor family". The record is from Rfam by way of RNAcentral. Lineage: Eukaryota; Viridiplantae; Streptophyta; Magnoliopsida; Fabales; Fabaceae.
UUGAAUGUGAAUUGAUUUAUGUUUGGAUACUAAAAGUGAUUCUUGCGGGUUGAUGUUGUUUGGAUAG